This 211-nucleotide long non-coding RNA is filed under the name Elaeis guineensis (African oil palm). Its description in RNAcentral is "long non-coding RNA (EGUI_LNC016320)". The record is from RNAcentral. Lineage: Eukaryota; Viridiplantae; Streptophyta; Magnoliopsida; Arecales; Arecaceae.
UGUCAGCUUUUGUGUUGGUGGCUGUAUGUACGCACACAUGUGACAUGUUUUCCUUAGAUGGGCGAGGCAACUUUGUCAAGCAAGCGCUUUUGCAUACCUAUUAAAUGUAUUUGGUAGCUCCCAGACUUUACAGCGAAUUAAUCAUCUCUUUAUUUAAAAAAUUGUUGGUGUUCUACUCUCAAGAGAUAUUAUGGCUGCCAUUUUUUGUCAU